GACGAACGCUGGCGGCGUGCUUAACACAUGCAAGUCGAACGGAAAGGCCCUGCUUUUGUGGGGUGCUCGAGUGGCGAACGGGUGUGUAACACGUGAGUAACCUGCCCUUGACUUUGGGAUAACUUCAGGAAACUGGGGCUAAUACCGGAUAGGAGCUCCUGCUGCAUGGUGGGGGUUGGAAAGUUUCGGCGGUUGGGGAUGGACUCGCGGCUUAUCAGCUUGUUGGUGGGGUAGUGGCUUACCAAGGCUUUGACGGGUAGCCGGCCUGAGAGGGUGACCGGCCACAUUGGGACUGAGAUACGGACCAGACUCGUACGGGGGGCAGCAGUGGGGAAUAUUGCACAAUGGGCGGAAGCCUGAUGCAGCAACGCCGCGUGCGGGAUGACGGCCUUCGGGUUGUAAACCGCUUUCGCCUGUGACGAAGCGUGAGUGACGGUAAUGGGUAAAGAAGCACCGGCUAACUACGUG
RNAcentral lists this ribosomal RNA (468 nucleotides) under uncultured bacterium. Its description in RNAcentral is "partial 16S ribosomal RNA". It matches the Rfam family "Bacterial small subunit ribosomal RNA", at positions 28 to 507 of the family's 1533-position model. The record is from RNAcentral.